GAUGAACGCUGGCGGCGUGCCUAAUACAUGCAAGUCGAGCGAACAGACGAGGAGCUUGCUCCUCUGACGUUAGCGGCGGACGGGUGAGUAACACGUGGAUAACCUACCUAUAAGACUGGGAUAACUUCGGGAAACCGGAGCUAAUACCGGAUAAUAUAUUGAACCGCAUGGUUCAAUAGUGAAAGACGGUUUUGCUGUCACUUAUAGAUGGAUCCGCGCCGCAUUAGCUAGUUGGUAAGGUAAAGGCUUACCAAGGCAACGAUGCGUAGCCGACCUGAGAGGGUGAUCGGCCACACUGGAACUGAGACACGGUCCAGACUCCUACGGGAGGCAGCAGUAGGGAAUCUUCCGCAAUGGGCGAAAGCCUGACGGAGCAACGCCGCGUGAGUGAUGAAGGUCUUCGGAUCGUAAAACUCUGUUAUUAGGGAAGAACAAAUGUGUAAGUAACUAUGCACGUCUUGACGGUACCUAAUCAGAAAGCCACGGCUAACUACGUG
RNAcentral lists this ribosomal RNA (497 nucleotides) under uncultured bacterium. Its description in RNAcentral is "partial 16S ribosomal RNA". It matches the Rfam family "Bacterial small subunit ribosomal RNA", at positions 28 to 507 of the family's 1533-position model. The record is from RNAcentral.